ACUGGGAAGAAUUAGAAGAGCCAAAGCAAGUUGUUUAUAAAGAAAAUGAUUUUGGUUCCAAGAAUAGCGAUGAUUUGGAAAAAAAAUAAUGAUUAUGAGGACUCAGAAGAAUUAGACGAGCCAGAUGAUUCGGAAAAAAUAAUGAUUAUGAGGACUCAGAAGAAUUAGACGAGCCAGAGCAAGUUGUUUAUAAAGAAAAUGAUUUUGGUUCCAAGAAUAGUGAUGAUUCGGAAAAAAUAAUGAUUCUGAGGACUUGGAAGAAUUAGAAGAGCCAAAGCAAGUUGUUUAUAAAGAAAAUAAUUUUGGUUCCAAGAAUAGCGAUGAUUUGGAAAAAAAUAAUGAUUCUGAGGACUCGGAAGAAUUAGAAGAGCCAAAGCAAGUUGUUUAUAAAGAAAAUGAUUUUGGUUCCGAGAAUAGCGACGAUACGGAAAAAAAUAAUGAUUCUGAGGACUCAAGGAAAAAAAUAAUGAUUCUGAGGACUCAAGAAUUGAGGGGGUCCAGAAAUAAUUACUU
RNAcentral lists this long non-coding RNA (513 nucleotides) under Lathyrus oleraceus (garden pea). RNAcentral's name for it is "Pisum sativum (pea) long non-coding RNA (PSAT_LNC009407)". Lineage: Eukaryota; Viridiplantae; Streptophyta; Magnoliopsida; Fabales; Fabaceae. The record is from RNAcentral.